GCGAAGUACACAUGCGGUAUUUAUCUUGAUCUAUGUCUGUGGUUGUAACCUAGUUGCUGUAGGUCAAUGUACAAAUUUCACUUUGUUCUAUGACCAGGCUAUGUAAUAGAUAUAUAUUUUAUACUCCUAGAUAAACAGUUUUACAUGUUAGCAUACUAGAUUUGAGACUUUAUAAUAAGUUUAAGUUACCCUCCGAUUAUGUUGAUGCGUCUAGUAAUUGUUAUCAAUGUUUUAAGGGCAUCGCGCAUACAUGUUGUUUUUGGUAGAAAAAUACUCUUUGAAAUACUCUGAAGCUAAAGUUUGGUUGGGAUAAUGUAUUAUGUUGAUAUGACAUGUGUGCGUCGGGCCUUAUGUGAAUAAAUGUAUUAACUUGUAUAUAAAUUGCGCUUUACAUAUCCGAAGCUUGAAUAAAUUUUACCAAAUAUAAA
Aricia agestis (brown argus) is the source of this 428-nucleotide long non-coding RNA. RefSeq lists it as uncharacterized. Lineage: Eukaryota; Metazoa; Arthropoda; Insecta; Lepidoptera; Lycaenidae. The transcript is spliced from 2 exons. The record is from RefSeq and is a predicted model, not a curated record.